RNAcentral lists this long non-coding RNA (1164 nucleotides) under Panax ginseng (ginseng). RNAcentral describes it as "long non-coding RNA (PGIN_LNC009219)". Lineage: Eukaryota; Viridiplantae; Streptophyta; Magnoliopsida; Apiales; Araliaceae. The record is from RNAcentral.
UUGGUCGACCAAUUUGCAGCCCAGAAUGCCAUGAACGCCCAGCUGUUCCCGGGUGUUAAUCUCAGCCAGUUCCCCACUGCUCCAAUUCUGCCAGUAUUUCCCCCUUCUGAUCUAGAGAUGAGCGAGGAUGAUGAUGCUCCACCCGAGGCAUAAGCUCGUCAGGGAAGUCCUUUGUUUUAAUUUGAUUUAUUUUUCGCAUGAGGACAUUGCUCUAGAUAAGUUUGGGGGUAGUUAAUUUCUAUUUGAAUUAGUAGAUUGUUAAUUUGGGAUUUUUUUUAUUAUUUGUGAUUAAGUGUUGCAUUUUAGGAUUGCAUGUUAAUUCUAGCUGUUUGAUAGUUACGUAUGUUUGGGGCCAUUGAUGAAAUUAAAAUUGCAUGAACAAGUCUAGUAAGGAUGAGCUAGUGAUAUGAUUUUCUUGACAUGAUUUAAAUCUUUAUCUGUUUGACACUGAUAUUAUAAGGAUAACACGUUUUAAAAAAUGACCAUGUUGGCUAUGAUAGUUUAAAUGGAUAGAUAAUAGAGUUCUAAAGGAUGAAUGCUAGUGAAAUAGAGGAUCAAUUUGAAUAGCUAGUGAAGACUGAAUUGAGACAUAAACUCAAGUUUGGGGGAAAAAUAUUUGGAGUAUAUAAGCUUUGGAAAAAAAAAUAAAAUACUGUGGCAUGCUUGUCUAGUUUUGUGGCCUUUGUUACUUGAGUAAGUAAGCCCAAGGGGAUUGUGUCUACACCUAGCGCCCUAAGGUCUUAAUGGCUUGGGAGUCGUUGGUCGAAAGCUCGUUAAGGUAACAAUGAAAAGCCUAAGGGAAUAAGACAAUGCAUAGUCUUGAGAAAGAAAAAAAGAAGCAUAAGUAUUCCAUUUUGACCCUUGGACUUUGGUGAUUGUUUGAUUUCAGUUGAAUCAAGCUUAUUUGAUGAGUUCUCAAGUUUACACUGUAUGAUGCCUACUAAGAAAUUUAUUAUCUUUCAUAUUUUUGCCUUUCAUUGGAAAGCAUGGUUGUUGGUCACACACGCACGAUAUCAGUAAUAACAGAUUUAGAUUCAUUGAUUGUUGAGAUAUUAUUGAACUACAUUAACAUAAUGUAUUAGCAUGUUUUUGUGAUUUUUCUGAGGCCUAUGGAUAUAUGGUGUGCUAUUUAAUUGCUGGAAUUACGAUCGUAUAGAUAGUAGU